GACGAACGCUGGCGGCGUGGAUUAGGCAUGCAAGUCGAACGGUAUCAUCCUUUCGGGGAUGAGAGAGUGGCGAACGGGUGAGUAACACGUAGGUGAUCUACCCUCAAGACGGGGACAACCCAGGGAAACUUGGGCUAAUACCGGAUGUGAGCUAUCGUGAGAUAGUUUGAAAGGUGGCUUCGGCUGCCGCUUGAGGAUGAGCCUGCGUCCUAUUAGCUAGUUGGUGAGGUAACGGCUCACCGAGGCAGUGAUAGGUAGGCGGCCUUAACGGGUGGUCGCCCACACUGGGAUUGAGAUACGGCCCAGACUCCUACGGGAGGCAGCAGUCGAGAAUAGUCUACAAUGGUCGAAAGACUGAUAGUGCGACGCCGCGUGAACGAAGAAGCCCUUCGGGUGUAAAGUUCUUUUAUAUGUGAGCAGUGACAUCUAUAUUAAUAGUAUGGGUGUAGAGAUAUUAGCAUAUGAAUAAGCAACGGCUAACUCCGUG
This 487-nucleotide ribosomal RNA is filed under the name uncultured bacterium. RNAcentral's name for it is "bacterial SSU rRNA". It matches the Rfam family "Bacterial small subunit ribosomal RNA", at positions 28 to 507 of the family's 1533-position model. The record is from RNAcentral.